CAUAGCUCCUUGCAAACCCAUAAGGAGUAACGCCUGCCCAGUGGAAAAAUCUAAACGGCCGCGGUACCUUGACCGUGCAAAGGUAGCAUAAUCACUUGUCUUUUAAAUGAGGACCCGUAUGAAUGGCAAAACAUCUUCUAACUGUCUCUUUUCUUACCCUUCUAAACUUCUAACAAUGUGAAGAAGCAUUGAUAAUAAAGAAAGACGAGAAGACCCUGUCGAGCUUCAACUUCCAAAAGAAUCACCUAACUUUUUCAUAAAAAUUAACACAUCUCUAAAGAAGUUUUGGUUGGGGCAACCAUGGAGAACACCAAUCCUCCAGAACAACAAAAUAAAGAUCAUAAAUCAUAUUUUCCUUAAACUCUAAAUAAAGAACCAGACCCACUGGAAAACAGAAAAAGUUACCGCAGGGAUAACAGCGUCAUCUCCUUCAAGAGUCCAUAUUGACAAGGAGGAUUGCGACCUCGAUGUUGGAUUAGGGCCACCAAAGGGUGCAGCAGCUCUUAAGGUUGGACUGUUCGUCCAUUAAACCCCUACAUGAUCUGA
RNAcentral lists this ribosomal RNA (546 nucleotides) under Pseudocolochirus violaceus. Its description in RNAcentral is "partial large subunit ribosomal RNA". It matches the Rfam family "Bacterial large subunit ribosomal RNA", at positions 1814 to 2608 of the family's 2925-position model. Lineage: Eukaryota; Metazoa; Echinodermata; Holothuroidea; Dendrochirotida; Cucumariidae. The record is from RNAcentral.